RNAcentral lists this ribosomal RNA (203 nucleotides) under uncultured bacterium. RNAcentral's name for it is "partial 16S ribosomal RNA". It matches the Rfam family "Bacterial small subunit ribosomal RNA", at positions 524 to 724 of the family's 1533-position model. The record is from RNAcentral.
UACGUAGGGUGCGAGCGUUUGUCCGGAAUUAUUGGGCGUAAAGAGCUCGUAGGCGGUGUGUCACGUCGGCCGUGAAAACCUGCAGCUUAACUGUGGGCGUGCGGUCGAUACGGGCAUCACUGGAGUUCGGCAGGGGAGACUGGAAUUCCUGGUGUAGCGGUGAAAUGCGCAGAUAUCAGGAGGAACACCGGUGGCGAAGGCGG